RNAcentral lists this long non-coding RNA (1953 nucleotides) under Strigops habroptila (Kakapo). Its description in RNAcentral is "lncRNA (ENSSHBG00005009258.1)". The record is from RNAcentral. Lineage: Eukaryota; Metazoa; Chordata; Aves; Psittaciformes; Psittacidae.
UUUUUUUUUUUUUCUUUUAUUGUAAGUAAUUAAAUGUAUAAAAGUAGAAGCUAAAUUAAAGUUAAGGGAUUUUUACCACCCUGUCCUUCCAUCAAAAGUCAGCUAGAGAAAUGUUAAGCAAAGCUUGGCCAAAGACGAAGCGAAAAAAAUAGGUUGAGCCAGGGGCUGUGCUGGCUGCUUGGACUGGCUCUGUGGCUCACUUGCAGUCUCUUGGCUGGUUAUAGUCACUUUUAGAUAAAAGAAGAAAACUUCUCUGAGCUUUUUGGGCCCUUUCCAGCUUUGUUUAUUGAAUCUGGAUCCCAUGGGGAGGGGAAAAUGUCCCUCUCAUCUUCCACUCCCCCAGCACAUCUGGGUCAGUCUGUAAACACCUGGCAGGACAGAGGGUGAGGGCAUAGCAGCCUAUAAUUUACUAGAAUCCAGAGUGCAAUAAGGUGGGGGAGAGGAGGAAAAAGCAAACCAAAGUGUUUCAUAUCCUCCCUUUUAGACAAUUUAACACACGCACACAAAAAAAAAAAAAAAGGAAAAAAGGAAAAAAAAAAAGAAAAAUGAAAAGAAAAAGAAACAAAAUGUUCUUGCAACAUCUGCAUAAGACAUCACAGCCAACAGCUGCUAUUGGUUUAGGAGAGAAGACAGAGAACUCAGCCCACCAAUUCUUGGCCCCCUUGACUUUGUUGGCGUGACCUUGUGGAAAGCUAUGGCUUAUUUCAAGCCUCCCGUGACUGUGGUGGUAAAAAUUCACAGCCAGUAGAAUCAUCCCUUCUGAAUUGAGUCAGGUUUACACUUGUGUUUUCUCAGUUGUUUGUUUUGUUUGGGUUUUUCCCCCAUUCAAACCAAUUUAGUCUCUGCGGAAGGUUCACCAGACCUCACGCUUUGUCUUUUUAAAAAAAAAAAACAAAACCAUUUUUUUUAAAGUUUUGACCAAAAAAAGGAAAAAAAAAAAAGAAAAAAGUGAGCAUGUUUGACUAAAACAAAGGAAUAUAAGCUUCAUUUUCUAUUGGUUUUUUUUUUUGUUUUGUUUGUUUGUUUGUUUUUUUGUUUGUUUGUUAAGGUAGACUAGUCCAUAAGAAGUUUUUGGGUCAAUUGAAUGAACUAAGGAAACUGGAACCCAGGCUCCAAGCAAUAGAGAUCCCAAAGGCUGAGCCUUGGCCUGGUGUUAUGUUACAGGGAACACACUGGCCCCUCUCCCGCCAUGCUCCAGGGUGCUGCUACCAGUGCCAUUGUCUGCCUGUCCUGGACCCUGCGAGAGGGGAGCAUGGACUUGUGUUUUUUCCUAACUGUGCUGAGAUGCGCUGUUUUCUUCUGGGGGGUUAGGUGGGAUUUUAGUGUCUUUAGCACUUCCACAUUUUGAAUAUAUAUUGAAUUCUUUUUUCCUUGAUUCCUUGCCAAAACCCCCUGAGAAUGUCCCCAAAAUAGCCUUUGGGGAGGACAGGGAAGGCCCUGCCAUCUACCUUUUUCUCAGAGCAAGUCUCAGCAGGGCUGAGGGACAGCAGUGCAACGUUAGUUCCUAGGCACUUUCACCCUGCCUUUACCUGCCCUCCAACCACCCUAAAGCUGAGUUGAAUCCCACCCUGGCUCAGGCUGCAGCUCCCUUGUGGGUUUGGGACGCUGGUCCCCCCAUUCCCUUGUGGCCCUGCAGUUUGCCCAGCAGUGAUGGGGAUGGCAGGAGGGUGUCUGCAGAAGCCAGCUCUGGGACAGCAGCUCAAGCUGUGACCCACUGAGCCAAGCCAUGGAGCAGCCCAAGGCAUGAGGAAGCAGUGAGCUCCUCAGCAGGCAGAUAACCUGCUCCCCCUCUCUUAACUCCAUUUCUACAAGCAUGUGUGUGGGUGAUGUAGCCUCUCCCCUCGCAGGCCCUCUCGUCAUUUGUUUCUUAAGCCUUUAAGAAUCAUGUUGAAGUUUCAGGACCCAAUGCUAUGUUUUAAAACCAUUUUUCAGAGCAACUUUCUUUUUUAACUU